RNAcentral lists this transfer RNA (74 nucleotides) under Phycisphaerales bacterium. RNAcentral's name for it is "tRNA-Pro". It matches the Rfam family "tRNA". From Rfam's summary of the family: Transfer RNA (tRNA) molecules are approximately 80 nucleotides in length. Their secondary structure includes four short double-helical elements and three loops (D, anti-codon, and T loops). Further hydrogen bonds mediate the characteristic L-shaped molecular structure. tRNAs have two regions of fundamental functional importance: the anti-codon, which is responsible for specific mRNA codon recognition, and the 3' end, to which the tRNAs corresponding amino acid is attached (by aminoacyl-tRNA synthetases). tRNAs cope with the degeneracy of the genetic code in two manners: having more than one tRNA (with a specific anti-codon) for a particular amino acid; and 'wobble' base-pairing, i.e. permitting non-standard base-pairing at the 3rd anti-codon position. The record is from RNAcentral. Lineage: Bacteria; Pseudomonadati; Planctomycetota; Phycisphaerae; Phycisphaerales.
CAGGGCGUAGCUCAGCUUGGUAGAGCGCGUGCUUUGGGAGCACGAGGUCGCAGGUUCAACUCCUGUCGCCCUGA